GUUUAUAUAGUUUAAAAAAAACAUAACGCUUUCAUCGUUAAAUUGGAUUUUAAUCCUUUAAAUA
RNAcentral lists this transfer RNA (64 nucleotides) under Scolytinae sp. BMNH 1274277. RNAcentral's name for it is "tRNA-Glu". Lineage: Eukaryota; Metazoa; Arthropoda; Insecta; Coleoptera; Curculionidae. The record is from RNAcentral.